RNAcentral lists this ribosomal RNA (541 nucleotides) under uncultured bacterium. RNAcentral describes it as "bacterial SSU rRNA". It matches the Rfam family "Bacterial small subunit ribosomal RNA", at positions 335 to 869 of the family's 1533-position model. The record is from RNAcentral.
CACCUACGGGUGGCAGCAGUGGGGAAUUUUGGACAAUGGGGGGCAACCCUGAUCCAGCCAUGCCGCGUGUGCGAAGAAGGCCUUCGGGUUGUAAAGCACUUUUGGCAGGAACGAAACGGUUUGCGUUAAUACCGCGAACUAAUGACGGUACCUGCAGAAUAAGCACCGGCUAACUACGUGCCAGCAGCCGCGGUAAUACGUAGGGUGCAAGCGUUAAUCGGAAUUACUGGGCGUAAAGCGUGCGCAGGCGGUUAUAUAAGACCGAUGUGAAAUCCCCGGGCUCAACCUGGGAACUGCAUUGGUGACUGUAUAGCUAGAGUGUGUCAGAGGGGGGUAGAAUUCCACGUGUAGCAGUGAAAUGCGUAGAGAUGUGGAGGAAUACCGAUGGCGAAGGCAGCCCCCUGGGAUAACACUGACGCUCAUGCACGAAAGCGUGGGGAGCAAACAGGAUUAGAUACCCUGGUAGUCCACGCCCUAAACGAUGUCUACUAGUUGUUGGGAGGGUAACCUCUUAGUAACGCAGCUAACGCGUGAAGUAGAC